CGACAAUCAGGUUCAAUUAGAUCUCGAUAAGAGGCCGCAUUUAUUUCUUAUUUUUACCUUACGAUGUGUCUGCCUUUCAAAAACCCGCGCUGUUGGUGUGUGUCAAGUGCCAAAAGGUUCUAGAACUUUAACCUUAUCAGAUCAUUAAUUUGUCCUCUACUAUCUUCUUUUCACGCCGCUCGUAGUAAUUUCUAGUAGAAUCUAAUAUUUGUAUGCAUGGUACACGCAAUAUUUGCUAGGUGCAAUCCCAUAUCGUUCGAACGUGUUGAGUUAUUCACACGACGAAUGAUACGAAUAAGGGCAACACCAUCCAUCGCCAAAUUCGACGUAUGAAUAUUCAAUAUUCGACGUCGGGCGUAUCAUUCGAAUACAUCGGCACCCCUCGUCUCUCGUAGGCACUGCAAUUCCUGUAACGUGCACGAUGCUCGGCGUCAUUACAUCGGAAGCGGUCGCGCGAGCAUAUGCCGCAUGCAUGACUUUACAACUUCAGAGUCAGUUAGAUCAUCCAGAUGAAUUGUACUACAUUCAGCUUCUGAUAAAUUGGAUAUCUACAAGCAUUGUUAGCAAAGUUUUCUAAAAUAAAUAUCGCAUAGGACACCGUUAUAUACACAGGGUCGCCUUCAAUUAGGGAGGAUAUUCUCGCUCAUGGUACUCUCCUCCGCUACCGACCGAUCUUUCCGAGCAGCGACGUCGUGCGCGCGCUCUAUAAAAGGAUAGCUAGAGGUCUAAUUGCAGCCAUCAGCGAAAGCCGACGGACCGGAAGCGGGCGGAAACUUAGAGCAUUCUUCGCGAGGUCCUCCAUCGGGCGUCGAGAGAAUUCCUCGGCAAUAGCUCCCGCGCUCCUUCGCAAGAGAUUCCGCGGCCAAAGGCACCGGUCCAUUUUUCAGUAUUAGGAAGAAGCGAUAGCCCGCCGAGGCGAUCGGUAAUCGAUAUCCGUGGAGCGGCGAACGCUCGUAAACUGGCCAAACAACGAUACGUACCGUACCCGAUUGGUUUAGCUUCGCGAAGGGCGAGUACAGGUGCGCGAUUGGUUGAGCAGGUGAGCGAUUGGCUCGACCUAUCGGGCUUCCGUUUACCUCUUUCGCGUUUCUACCUUCGGCUUUUCUUCGGUCUAUUUGCGCGGCACACCGGAGUUGUAUAAAAAGUACGUAGCCGCGAGAACAGUUUUAUGAAACGCGAGAGACUUUUCGGGAUAUUUACCUUGUAUUAACCUCGCUACUUUUCUUGUUUGCCGCCAAUAUGCCUCUUUUUUUGCACUUUACUUUUCAAAUGCCUCGAGCACGUUUUAGACGACCUAUAGUAUGCGGCAAAGUUUGAAACGGAAUUUGUGAGGCAAGAUUCGAGUUGAAACAGAAUUACUUUUGCGGACGCAUGUAAAUUUUCACACAUGUUGUUAUUGUAUGUAUACGCGACAGACGAAAUUAUAAACCGAAUUCUGACCCGAGUUUCGUCUAAAGUGGGUUUCAAGGAGCAUUUAUAGCCACACAUUGCUUAUACACUGAAACGCACAUUAUGUUGAAACGCCUGAGGAAACGCCUGAAUUACGAAAGAUUUCCCUUCGCAUUUUAACGUCUGACUGGCAUAAUUCUACCGCCGCGAGCGUUGCAAUAUUUACUCAUUGAACAAAUUCUACGCGGUAUCGCGAUCGCACGCUAAGUAUGACGAGGGAAACCCGACGUUUUCUUUUUCGCAAUUCGCGUCGCUUUAUCGGUUAUUUUUGCGCCGCUCUUCCCUGGGGCGCAUCGUUCGAACUUACAGUUUUCGCGGGCGUUAACUCUCGUUGCGCCGUGCAAUUUAGCGUUUCAGCGACGUAUAAUCGCGUUAAAAGUCGAGCACCAACUCGAGACGAGGCGGUAAUCGCCCGUUCUAUCCGAUAACGAGUUUCGUCUAACUUCGCGACUGCGUAGCGGCGGGGAAAGAGAACGACAAAAUAAAGGGGCCGCCUACUAGGAGACAGUAGGUAAAGGGUGAGAGAAAAGGAAAGGGUUGCGAAUGAAACUGCGGAAGAAGUAAAAUCUCUCGUCAGAGGAAGAAAGAGAAAGAUACAUAUAAUAGCUAAUUUUCUUUUAACGAGCUCCCUUGUCCGAGUUAUUCCUGAUUGUAGCGGAUAUUCGAAACAGAUGAGAGAUCGAGAUCGUGAUCAAGAUUAAAAGUCGUGAACAUUUGAAAUUUCGUUAAGUGAAACGAACAUCUCUCGCAGAAAAACGCUCUGUUAUCUCUGCACAAGUAGAAGACAUAAUUAUCUCCGCAGUAAGCAUUCGUUAAGAUAAAAAUACAAAUGCCCGGACACAUACCUAAUCCUCGACCUUAUUAUUUUGGUUUUUAAAUACAAAUAUUUUAAUUUUCUAAUAAACAUUAAUUAUUAUAUAGUAACACAAUAUAGUAAUAUAACUAAUGUUAUAAUUUUAAUCAUAAUAUCGUAAUUGUAAUUUCCUAGUCAACGAUAUAAAUGUAAUAUAAUGCAAAUAUUAUGUAACAGUUACAAUGAUG
Molecule: long non-coding RNA, 2490 nt
Organism: Odontomachus brunneus
Lineage: Eukaryota; Metazoa; Arthropoda; Insecta; Hymenoptera; Formicidae
Exons: 5
Source: RefSeq, a predicted model, not a curated record